CUACGGGGGGCAGCAGUGAGGAAUAUUGCACAAUGGGGGGAACCCUGAUGCAGCAACGCCGCGUGGAGGAUGACGCAUUUCGGUGUGUAAACUCCUUUUAUAUGUCAAGAAAAUGACGGUAGCAUAUGAAUAAGCACCGGCUAACUCCGUGGCCAGCAGCCGCGGUAAUACGGAGGGUGCAAGCGUUACUCGGAAUCACUGGGCGUAAAGGACGCGUAGGCGGGUUGGAAAGUCAGGUGUGAAAUCCUACAGCUUAACUGUAGAGCUGCACUUGAAACUUCUAAUCUAGAGUAUGGGAGGGGGAGAUGGAAUUAGUGGUGUAGGGGUAAAAUCCGUAGAUAUCACUAGGAAUACCUAAAGCGAAGGCGAUCUCCUGGAACAUUACUGACGCUAAGGCGUGAAAGCGUGGGGAGCAAACAGGAUUAGAUACCCCGGUAGUC
Molecule: ribosomal RNA, 440 nt
Filed under: uncultured bacterium
Lineage: Bacteria
Description: partial 16S ribosomal RNA
Rfam family: Bacterial small subunit ribosomal RNA
Source: RNAcentral